GGAAUUACUACAUCCAAAAACCUGUUAUAUGCUCGCUGUUGCACUUGCAUGGAGUUAUUUCAAGCUCACUAUAAAUACUAAAGCUGGUGCUUAUAGUUAUUUAGAGUGCCAAUGCAAUCAUGUGCACAUAGAAAACAAGAAUUUUACCAUUUUCAAGUAUCAUUACUGGAGAUCAAAAACAAAAGGAAGUAUAAUAUCUCAAACAAAAC
This 209-nucleotide unclassified non-coding RNA is filed under the name Hevea brasiliensis (rubber tree). The record is from RNAcentral. Lineage: Eukaryota; Viridiplantae; Streptophyta; Magnoliopsida; Malpighiales; Euphorbiaceae.